RNAcentral lists this ribosomal RNA (468 nucleotides) under uncultured bacterium. RNAcentral describes it as "partial 16S ribosomal RNA". It matches the Rfam family "Bacterial small subunit ribosomal RNA", at positions 28 to 507 of the family's 1533-position model. The record is from RNAcentral.
GACGAACGCUGGCGGCGUGCCUAAUACAUGCAGGUCGAACGGAAAGGCCCUGCUUUUGUGGGGUGCUCGAGUGGCGAACGGGUGAGUAACACGUGAGUAACCUGUCCUUGACUUUGGGAUAACUUCAGGAAACUGGGGCUAAUAUCGGAUAGGAGCUCCUGCUGCAUGGUGGGGGUUGGAAAGUUUCGGCGGUUGGGGAUGGACUCGCGGCUUAUCAGCUUGUUGGUGGGGUAGUGGCUUACCAAGGCUUUGACGGGUAGCCGGCCUGAGAGGGUGACCGGCCACAAUGGGACUGAGAUACGGCCCAGACUCCUACGGGAGGCAGCGGUGGAAAAUAUUGCGCAAUGGGCGGAAGCCUGAUACAACAGCGCCGGGUGCGGGAUGACGGCCUUCGGGUUGUAAACCGCUUUCGCCUGUGACGAAGCGUGAGUGACGGUAAUGGGUAAAGAAGCACCGGCUAACUACGUG